Molecule: ribosomal RNA, 443 nt
Filed under: uncultured bacterium
Lineage: Bacteria
Description: partial 16S ribosomal RNA
Rfam family: Bacterial small subunit ribosomal RNA
Source: RNAcentral
CCUACGGGAGACAGCAGUGGGGAAUAUUGGACAAUGGGGGGAACCCUGAUCCAGCGACGCCGCGUGAGUGAAGAAGUAUUUCGGUAUGUAAAGCUCUAUCAGCAGGGAAGAAAGAAAUGACGGUACCUGACUAAGAAGCCCCGGCUACCUACGUGCCAGCAGCCGCGGUAAUACGUAGGGGGCAAGCGUUAUCCGGAUUUACUGGGUGUAAAGGGGGCGUAGACGGCGAUGCAAGUCUGAAGUGAAAGGCGGGGGCCCAACCCCCGGACUGCUUUGGAAACUGUAUGGCUGGAGUGCAGGAGAGGUAAGUGGAAUUCCUGGUGUAGCGGUGAAAUGCGUAGAUAUUAGGAGGAACACCAGUGGCGAAGGCGGCUUACUGGACUGUAACUGACGUUGAGGCACGAAAGCGUGGGGAGCAAACAGGAUUAGAUACCCUGGUAGUC